RNAcentral lists this ribosomal RNA (387 nucleotides) under uncultured bacterium. RNAcentral describes it as "bacterial SSU rRNA". It matches the Rfam family "Bacterial small subunit ribosomal RNA", at positions 28 to 414 of the family's 1533-position model. The record is from RNAcentral.
GAUGAACGCUAGCGGCAGGCUUAAUACAUGCAAGUCGAGGGGCAGCACGGUUAGCAAUAACUGGUGGCGACCGGCGCACGGGUGCGUAACACGUAUACAAUCUACCUUAAACAGGGGGAUAGCCUUUCGAAAGAGAGAUUAAUACCCGUAAUAAAUUGAACGGCAUCGUUUGAUUUUGAAAGCUCCGGCGGUUUGAGAUGAGUAUGCGUCUGAUUAGCUAGUUGGUGAGGUAACGGCUCACCAAGGCGACGAUCAGUAGGGGAUCUGAGAGGACUAACCCCCACACUGGUACUGAGACACGGACCAGACUCCUACGGGAGGCAGCAGUAAGGAAUAUUGGUCAAUGGAGGCAACUCUGAACCAGCCAUGCCGCGUGCAGGAUGACGG